Molecule: ribosomal RNA, 253 nt
Filed under: uncultured bacterium
Lineage: Bacteria
Description: partial 16S ribosomal RNA
Rfam family: Bacterial small subunit ribosomal RNA
Source: RNAcentral
GACAGAGGGUGCAAACGUUGUUCGGAAUUACUGGGCGUAAAGCGAGUGUAGGCGGUUUGGCAAGUCGGAUGUGAAAGCCCCGGGCUCAACCCGGGAAGUGCACUCGAUACUCCCAAGCUAGAGUAUCGGAGAGGUUGGCGGAAUUCUCGGUGUAGAGGUGAAAUUCGUAGAUAUCGAGAGGAACACCGGCGGCGAAGGCGGCCAACUGGACGAAUACUGACGCUGAGACUCGAAAGCGUGGGGAGCAAACAGG